UACGUAGGGGGCGAGCGUUGUCCGGAAUCAUUGGGCGUAAAGGGCACGUAGGCGGCCCUGUAAGUCGGUUGUGAAAGCCCGGAGCUCAACUCCGGAAUUGCAUUCGAUACUGCAGGGCUUGAGGAAGGUAGAGGAGAGUGGAAUUCCCGGUGUAGCGGUGGAAUGCGCAGAUAUCGGGAGGAACACCAGCGGCGAAGGCGGCUCUCUGGGCCUUUCCUGACGCUGAGGUGCGAAAGCGUGGGGAGCGAACAGG
Molecule: unclassified non-coding RNA, 253 nt
Filed under: uncultured Nitriliruptoraceae bacterium
Lineage: Bacteria; Bacillati; Actinomycetota; Nitriliruptoria; Nitriliruptorales; Nitriliruptoraceae
Description: contains 16S-23S intergenic spacer region
Rfam family: Bacterial small subunit ribosomal RNA
Source: RNAcentral